Molecule: unclassified non-coding RNA, 241 nt
Filed under: uncultured fungus
Lineage: Eukaryota; Fungi
Description: partial contains 5.8S ribosomal RNA, internal transcribed spacer 2, and large subunit ribosomal RNA
Rfam family: 5.8S ribosomal RNA (bases 1-52)
Source: RNAcentral
AACGCACAUUGCGCCCUCUGGUAUUCCGGGGGGCAUGCCUGUUCGAGCGUCAUUACAACCCUCACGCCUCGCGUGGUAUUGGGCUCGCCCUGUAGGGCUUGCCUCAAAGUCAGUGGCGGCACCGUUUGACCCCUAAGCGUAGUAAUGCUCGUCGCUUCUGGUGUCGUGUGGAGGCCUGCCAGCAACCCCCAAUUUUUUUAAGGUUGACCUCGGAUCAGGUAGGGAUACCCGCUGAACUUAA